This 253-nucleotide ribosomal RNA is filed under the name uncultured bacterium. RNAcentral's name for it is "partial 16S ribosomal RNA". It matches the Rfam family "Bacterial small subunit ribosomal RNA", at positions 524 to 776 of the family's 1533-position model. The record is from RNAcentral.
UACGGAGGGCGCGAGCGUUGUCCGGAAUCACUGGGCGUAAAGGGCGCGUAGGCGGCAGGCCAAGCGUGCGGUGAAAGUCCGGGGCUCAACCCCGGAUCUGCCGUGCGGACUGGUUUGCUAGAGCACUGUAGAGGCGAGUGGAAUUCCGGGUGUAGCGGUGGAAUGCGUAGAGAUCCGGAGGAACACCAGCGGCGAAGGCGGCAUCCUGGACUGGUCCUGACGCUCAGGAGCGAAAGCGUGGGGAGCGAUCCGG